AAACUUCCCUUCGGGGAAGAUAUAAAGUGGCGCACGGGUGAGUAACACGUAGGUAAUCUACCUUUGAGUGGGGAAUAACAUCGGGAAACCGAUGCUAAUACCGCAUAAUGCAGCGGCACCUAAUGGUGACAGUUGUUAAAGAUUUAUCGCUUAAAGAGGAGCCUGCGGCAGAUUAGCUAGUUGGUAAGGUAAUGGCUUACCAAGGCUACGAUCUGUAUCCGACCUGAGAGGGUGGUCGGACACACUGACACUGAAUAACGGGUCAGACUCCUACGGGAGGCAGCAGUCGGGAAUUUUGGGCAAUGGGCGAAAGCCUGACCCAGCAACGCCGCGUGAAGGAUGAAGUUUUUCGGAAUGUAAACUUCGUAAGAAUGGGAAGAAUAAAUGACGGUACCAUUUGUAAGGCCCGGCUAACUACGUGCCAGCAGCCGCGGUAAUACGUAGGGACCAAGCGUUGUUCGGAUUUACUGGGCGUAAAGGGUGCGUAGGCGGCGCGUCAAGUCAGUUGUGAAAUCUUAAGGCUUAACCUUAAGCGGUCAACUGAUACUGUCGUGCUAGAGUGCAGAAGGGGCAAUCGGAAUUCUUGGUGUAGCGGUGAAAUGCGUAGAUAUCAAGAGGAACACCUGAGGUGAAGACGGGUUGCUGGGCUGACACUGACGCUGAGGCACGAAAGCUAGGGUAGCAAACGGGAUUAGAUACCCCGGUAGUCCUAGCCCUAAACGAUGAAUGCUUGGUGUCUGGAGUUUCAAUUCUCCGGGUGCCGUCGCUAACGUUUUAAGCAUUCCGCCUGGGGAGUACGUACG
RNAcentral lists this ribosomal RNA (803 nucleotides) under uncultured Bacillota bacterium. RNAcentral's name for it is "bacterial SSU rRNA". It matches the Rfam family "Bacterial small subunit ribosomal RNA", at positions 70 to 888 of the family's 1533-position model. The record is from RNAcentral. Lineage: Bacteria; Bacillati; Bacillota.